CCUACGGGAGGCUGCAGUGGGGAAUAUUGGGCAAUGGGCGCAAGCCUGACCCAGCAACGCCGCGUGAAGGAAGAAGGCUUUCGGGUUUUAAACUUCUUUUCUCAUGGACGAAGCAAGUGACGGUACCUGAGGAAUAAGCCACGGCUAACUACGUGGCACCAGCCGCGGUAAUACGUAGGUGGCAAGCGUUAUCCGGAUUUACUGGGUGUAAAGGGCGUGUAGGCGGGGACGGAAGUCAGAUGUGAAAACCACGGGCUCAACCUGUGGACUGCAUUUGAAACUGUGUUUCUUGAGUACUGGAGAGGCAGACGGAAUUCGUGGUGUAGCGGUGAAAUGCGUAGAUAUUAGGAGGAACACCAGUGGCGAAGGCGGUCUGCUGGACAGCAACUGACGCUGAGGCGCGAAAGCGUGGGGAGCAAACAGGAUUAGAUACCCGUGUAGUC
RNAcentral lists this ribosomal RNA (443 nucleotides) under uncultured bacterium. RNAcentral describes it as "partial 16S ribosomal RNA". It matches the Rfam family "Bacterial small subunit ribosomal RNA", at positions 338 to 795 of the family's 1533-position model. The record is from RNAcentral.